CCACAGGCAGCUCACUACACAACCAUUACUUCAAGAUCAGCAGGAGGGUCUCACUCCUGUCUGCUAAGGCAAAGGAAUCGACUGGUCCUCUCUUCAUUCCCACAAACGCGUAUCAUGGAAUAAACAGAAGAGUGAGGAGCACCAUACCAUGCUACUGAGUCUGCCCCAUCAACCACUGGCUGUAAAAAAGAGAUGAGGAGAUGGUGACAGUCACCAAACUCUGCUGCAGAUGAGACUUUUCUUCCCUGGGACUUCUGAGUUGGUGAGGCUGGUUGACGGAUACUGGAAAUAGAGCGCAAAGGAAUAGUGAGAUGCAGCCCAAAGAGACUGAUAGACAAUGAGAACAAGUUUUGAAGACUGAGGAGGGCAGCGUCUGAAACUCUAGAUGAGAGGCCUUCAAUCUUCAACUCGGGUUGAGAGGGAGCUGGAUCAGAUCAAAUCAUAUUUUCUUUGGUGUCUGUAAAGCUCAUGGCAGUUCAUCUACUGAAUUUGACCCCAGAAAUCUCAGAUAACAGUAUGGGGCUGUGGUUUGGGUCUCAAGACAGCGCCAAUGAACUCUAAUGUCUAUAAUCUUCAACGCUGUGUUACAAGUCUAGCUGAUCCUUCUGCAGUUCUGCAGCUUUAUUUUGCAGGCUUUCAAUAUGCAGCCUCAGUCAUACUUUUGUAUUUCUAUUCCUGUCAAGAAAACAUAGUCCUCUCUUCUCUCCCUCUAUAGAAAUCUCACACAUCCUUCCAUGUCUCCUUCAAAUAUCAGCUCCUGCAAAGACCUUCUUGAUGAUCUACAAGCAGUGACCACUACUUCCUCUGAUUUUGUCAUUUGUCCCCCUUCUAUAACACUUCCCCUCUCCUGCUAUAUGUGGCUUUGUUUAUAAUUGUUGAUUUUUUUCAACUAGACUGAAAGUUUCUUGAGGGCAGAGGUUACAUAGUGACUUCCAAGUAAUCGGUGUAGUAUCCUAGGUGCCCAACCAAUAUUUGCUUUUUUGAUUAAUUGGAUUACAUUAAAAUCAAAUGUUCUCUGCCUCCACUCCACACCUCCAUGGGCCCCAGAACAUCCACAGAGUCUCCACCAACCAGACUGUCUGUGUGGGAGGUGGGAUUCACAAGAAAUAAACCAAAAUGAGUUACGUAGAAAAAUUUGAUGAGAUCACAAAAGAUGAGUGGAUGGAAGCUCAACAGCCUACAUAUCCAGCGGGUGGACAUGAACUAUGUGGUCACAGAGGGUUUUAAGGAAGCAGCAGAGAAGGGUUGCAUGGAAUCUGGAAUUGAAUUCAGUGUGGAUCUGAAAACUCUUUAUGAGGGAAUCUAGAGAUGAUUCUGGAGGGUCAGAUUCAGGAGGCCAUGGUGUGGAUCAACARCCUCCACCUGGAGUUCUUGGACAUAAACCUGUACCCUUUACUUUCAUCUGCAUAUUUGGAGUGAAGUUGACCAAGCUGUUCCAGAUUAUGAAAACCACCAGUCAACACUGCAGCUGAUGAAAUUACUGAAACUGCUACUUUGGGCUUAGAGUGAGAUGGACCGAAAUAAAAUAUCUCCUAAAUGACAGAACUUAGCAAAGGUGUGAACAAGGAGCCCAAAUAGAGCCUGUACAGGCCAACCCCUCUCAGUCCUGUUGCAUGGGACUCACCUUCCGUCCUUGUGAAAGAUUUUCAUUGUAGUAGGAAAUUUU
This is a long non-coding RNA of Urocitellus parryii (Arctic ground squirrel), 1666 nucleotides long. RefSeq lists it as uncharacterized. The record is from RefSeq and is a predicted model, not a curated record. Lineage: Eukaryota; Metazoa; Chordata; Mammalia; Rodentia; Sciuridae.